UCCGCGGACCGUGACUGGCGCUUGAGGUGGGGCACCACCGGGGAGCGGUCCGGCCGGCGGGAGCCGGUCCGAGCCGCGCGCCUGGGUGCUCAGC
This 94-nucleotide non-coding RNA is filed under the name Allokutzneria albata. RNAcentral describes it as "ZTP sequence". It matches the Rfam family "ZMP/ZTP riboswitch aptamer (pfl RNA motif)". Rfam says of the family: Previously known as pfl RNA. The record is from Rfam by way of RNAcentral. Lineage: Bacteria; Bacillati; Actinomycetota; Actinomycetes; Pseudonocardiales; Pseudonocardiaceae.